This 319-nucleotide ribosomal RNA is filed under the name uncultured Clostridium sp. Its description in RNAcentral is "bacterial SSU rRNA". It matches the Rfam family "Bacterial small subunit ribosomal RNA", at positions 192 to 527 of the family's 1533-position model. Lineage: Bacteria; Bacillati; Bacillota; Clostridia; Eubacteriales; Clostridiaceae. The record is from RNAcentral.
UUGAAUUGAUUAAAGGAGUAAUCCGCUUCAAGAUGGGCCCGCGGCGCAUCUAGCUAGCUCUGGUGAGGUAACGGCUCACCAAGGCGACGAUGCGUAGUCCGACCUGAGUAGGGUGAUCGGCCACNUCUGGGACUGAGACACGGCCCAGACUCCUACGGGAGGCAGCAGUGGGGAAUAUUGCACAAUGGGGGAAACCCUGAUGCAGCAACGCCGCGUGAGUGAUGAAGGCCUUCGGGUUGUAAAGCUCUGUCUUCAGGACGAUAUGACGGUACCUGAGAGGAAGCCACGGCUAAUACUUGCAAGCUACCCGCGUAAUACU